UAAUAUGUUGUAGACAUAGCAUUUUCCAUGUAGAGAAUUGUUGAGUCAAUAACCAUUGUACUAUUUAGCACAGUUGAUUAAGAAUUUGAUAAUUAAUAUUUUUUUAUGUUAUUAAUUAAGUUUAUGUCCAAAACAUAAACGAAUUAGUAAACUUGCUACUUUUCUCCCUCUAAAAAAAACCCACACUUUUACUUCAGAAUUAUCGAGCAAUGUAAAUCCUAACUUACACUUUCAACUGACAAUUUAGCUCUAAUAUCAUAUAUAAUUAAUGAUAAAUAAGAUAAGACAAAAAAUAACUUAUUAUUAAAAUAUAAUAU
Molecule: long non-coding RNA, 317 nt
Filed under: Ananas comosus (pineapple)
Lineage: Eukaryota; Viridiplantae; Streptophyta; Magnoliopsida; Poales; Bromeliaceae
Description: long non-coding RNA (ACOM_LNC002587)
Source: RNAcentral